Molecule: ribosomal RNA, 395 nt
Filed under: uncultured bacterium
Lineage: Bacteria
Description: bacterial SSU rRNA
Rfam family: Bacterial small subunit ribosomal RNA
Source: RNAcentral
GUGUCAGCAGCCGCGGUAAUACGUAGGGGGCAAGCGUUGUCCGGAAUUAUUGGGCGUAAAGAGCAUGUAGGCGGAUUUUUAAGUCAGGUGUGAAACCUCCGGGCUCAACUUGGAGCGUGCAUCUGAUACUGGAAGUCUUGAGGGUAUGAGAGGAAAACGGUAUUCCUAGUGUAGCGGUGAAAUGCGUAGAUAUUAGGAGGAACACCAGUGGCGAAGGCGGUUUUCUGGCAUACAACUGACGCUGAGAUGCGAAAGCGUGGGGAGCAAACAGGAUUAGAUACCCUGGUAGUCCACGCCGUAAACGAUGGGUACUAGGUGUAGGAGGUAUCGACCCCUUCUGUGCCGCAGUUAACACAUUAAGUACCCCGCCUGGGGAGUACGGCCGCAAGGUUGAA